Molecule: transfer RNA, 87 nt
Filed under: Gammaproteobacteria bacterium
Lineage: Bacteria; Pseudomonadati; Pseudomonadota; Gammaproteobacteria
Description: tRNA-Leu
Rfam family: tRNA
About the family: Transfer RNA (tRNA) molecules are approximately 80 nucleotides in length. Their secondary structure includes four short double-helical elements and three loops (D, anti-codon, and T loops).
Source: RNAcentral
GCCCGGGUGGCGAAAUUGGUAGACGCAGGAGACUUAAAAUCUCCCGGUGGUGACACCGUGCCGGUUCGAGCCCGGCCCCGGGCACCA